RNAcentral lists this ribosomal RNA (403 nucleotides) under Verrucomicrobiota bacterium. Its description in RNAcentral is "Verrucomicrobia bacterium partial 16S ribosomal RNA". It matches the Rfam family "Bacterial small subunit ribosomal RNA", at positions 355 to 776 of the family's 1533-position model. The record is from RNAcentral. Lineage: Bacteria; Pseudomonadati; Verrucomicrobiota.
UGGGGAAUAUUGCACAAUGGGGGAAACCCUGAUGCAGCGACGCCGCGUGAGCGAAGAAGGCUUUCGAAUCGUAAAGCUCUGUCCUAUGAGAAGAUAAUGACGGUAUCAUAGGAGGAAGCCCCGGCUAAAUACGUGCCAGCAGCCGCGGUAAUACGUAUGGGGCGAGCGUUGUCCGGAAUUAUUGGGCGUAAAGGGUACGUAGGCGGUCUAUUAAGUCAGGUGUGAAAGCGUGAGGCUUAACCUCAUUAAGCACUUGAAACUGAUAGACUUGAGUGAAGGGGAGGAAAGGGGAAUUCCUAGUGUAGCGGUGAAAUGCGUAGAUAUUAGGAGGAAUACCGGUGGCGAAGGCGACUUUCUGGACUUUUACUGACGCUCAGGUACGAAAGCGUGGGGAGCAAACAGG